This 750-nucleotide ribosomal RNA is filed under the name uncultured bacterium. RNAcentral's name for it is "bacterial SSU rRNA". It matches the Rfam family "Bacterial small subunit ribosomal RNA", at positions 60 to 823 of the family's 1533-position model. The record is from RNAcentral.
AGUCGAACGAGAGAUGAGGAGCUUGCUCUUCAAAUCGAGUGGCGAACGGGUGAGUAACGCGUGAGGAACUUGCCUCAAAGAGGGGGACAACAGUUGGAAACGACUGCUAAUACCGCAUAAGCCCACGGCUCGGCAUCGAGCAGGGGGAAAAGGAGCAAUCCGCUUUGAGAUGGCCUCGCGUCCGAUUAGCUAGUUGGUGAGGUAAUGGCCCACCAAGGCGACGAUCGGUAGCCGGACUGAGAGGUUGAACGGCCACAUUGGGACUGAGACACGGCCCAGACUCCUACGGGAGGCAGCAGUGGGGAAUAUUGCACAAUGGGGGAAACCCUGAUGCAGCGACGCCGCGUGGAGGAAGAAGGUCUUCGGAUUGUAAACUCCUGUUGUUGAGGAAGAUAAUGACGGUACUCAACAAGGAAGUGACGGCUAACUACGUGCCAGCAGCCGCGGUAAAACGUAGGUCACAAGCGUUGUCCGGAAUUACUGGGUGUAAAGGGAGCGCAGGCGGGAGAACAAGUUGGAAGUGAAAUCCAUGGGCUCAACCCAUGAACUGCUUUCAAAACUGUUUUUCUUGAGUAGUGCAGAGGUAGGCGGAAUUCCCGGUGUAGCGGUGGAAUGCGUAGAUAUCGGGAGGAACACCAGUGGCGAAGGCGGCCUACUGGGCACCAACUGACGCUGAGGCUCGAAAGUGUGGGUAGCAAACAGGAUUAGAUACCCUGGUAGUCCACACCGUAAACGAUGAUUACUAGGUGU